This 430-nucleotide unclassified non-coding RNA is filed under the name soil metagenome. RNAcentral's name for it is "partial contains 5.8S ribosomal RNA, internal transcribed spacer 2, and large subunit ribosomal RNA". The stretch from base 1 to 120 matches the Rfam family "5.8S ribosomal RNA", at positions 35 to 154 of the family's 154-position model. The record is from RNAcentral.
GAUGAAGAACGCAGCGAAAUGCGAUACGUAAUGUGAAUUGCAGAAUUCAGUGAAUCAUCGAAUCUUUGAACGCAUAUUGCGCUCUCUGGUAUUCCGGAGAGCAUGCUUGUUUGAGUAUCAGUAAACACCUCAACUCCCUUUUCUUUUUUGAAAUUGGAGCUGGACUUGAGUGAUCCCAACGCUUUCUUCCAAGAAAGUGGCGGGUUGCUUGAAAUGCAGGUGCAGCUGAACUUUUCUCUGAGCUAUAAGCAUAUCUAUUUAGUCUGCCUAAAAAACAGAUUAUUACCUUUGCUGCAGCUUACAUAAAGGAGACUAGUUCUUGUGCUGACUGAUGCAGGAUUCACAGAGACAGCUUCGGCUGACUUUGUAAACUCGAUCUCAAAUCAAGUAAGACUACCCGCUGAACUUAAGCAUAUCAAUAAGCGGAGGA